UUAACUAUUAGAUAGUACUCAGACGACAUUAACAUUCAGAGUUUGGGUUUCCUCUGGCAGGCGCGACCCAGCCGAAGCCGGUGCCCGAGGGCGGCCUGCCAAAGCAACGAAGAUAUACUAUACAAGGGUGGGUGUUUCUACCCGUGAGGGCAGGGACACUGUAAUGAUCCUUCCGCAGGUUCACCUACGGAAA
RNAcentral lists this unclassified non-coding RNA (193 nucleotides) under uncultured fungus. RNAcentral describes it as "sequence contains ITS1". Lineage: Eukaryota; Fungi. The record is from RNAcentral.